UACGUAGGCGGAAAAUUAAGUCAGUAGUGAAAUCCCGCAGCUUAACUGUAGAACUGUUAUUGAUACUGGUUUUCUUGAAUAUAGUUGAAGUAGGCGGAAUGUGUAAUGUAGCGGUGAAAUGCUUAGAUAUUACACAGAACACCGAUUGCGAAGGCAGCUUACUAAGCUAUGAUUGACGCUGAGGUACGAAAGCGUGGGGAGCGAACAGGAUUAGAUACCCUGGUAGUC
Molecule: ribosomal RNA, 228 nt
Filed under: uncultured bacterium
Lineage: Bacteria
Description: partial 16S ribosomal RNA
Rfam family: Bacterial small subunit ribosomal RNA
Source: RNAcentral